GAAUUGCAAAAUACGUGAAUCAUCGAAUCUUCGAACGCAUAUUGCACUUUUUUAGUUUACUAAAAAAGUAUGUCUGUUUGAGUAUCAGUAAAAUAUUCUCAUAAAAAAUUUAUUUUUUAUGGUUUUGAGUGUUUUACAACGAUACAAGUUGUUUCACUUUAAAUUUUUUGAUAUUGGAAAUUUUUCAAUUUUUUUAAAAUUGGAUAAAAUUUUCCCGUAAAAAGGAAUAAACUUGACAAUUUUAAAAAUAAAGAAAAACAUUUCCUCAAUAAAGGAAAAUUUAAAAUCAACCUGAUCUCAAAUCAGAUAAGAGUACCCGCUGAACUUAAGCAUAUCAAUAAGCGGAGGAAAAGAAACUAACAAGGAUUCCCCUAGUAACGGCGAGUGAAGCGGGAAGAGCUCAAAUUUGAAAUCUUAAAGGGCUUCCCUUUACGAAUUGUAGUUUUAAGAAGUGUUUUCUGUUGGAGUUUCGGUAAAAGUUCUUUGGAAUAGGACAUCAUAGAGGGUGAGAAUCCCGUAUUUGACCGUUACUUUCCAGCUGUGUGAUACACUUUCAAAGAGUCGGAUUGUUUGGGAAUGCAGUCCAAAAUGGGUGGUAAAUUUCAUCUAAAGCUAAAUAUUGGCGAGAGACCGAUAGCGAACAAGUACCGUGAGGGAAAGAUGAAAAGAACUUUGAAAAGAGAGUUAAACAGUACGUGAAAUUGUCAAAAGGGAAGCGUUUGACACCAGUGUUGUUUAGUUGAAAAUCAAUUCAAUAGUUUUUGAUUCUAAGUAGUAUUGACUUCAUCAGCUUGCUGCUUUCUUCUCAGAAAUUAUUGAAUGCACUUUUCAGUUAACAAGUCAACAUCAAUUUCUUUUGUUGUAAAAGGGUAAGAGGAAGGUGGCUUGCGCUUCGGCUCAAGUGUUUAUAGCCUUUUAUCUCUGCAAUCGGAGAGAUUGAGGUCUGCAGCGUAGAUCCUUCGGGGUUAGAUACAUUGGUGCUAAGCUAUAGCCUUGUAUAGACAACUUGUUGACUAUGCUCAGUCAUGUAGCUUACUCGCUGAUGCUAUUUUACCUACGCUUAGGAUGUUGAC
This 1073-nucleotide unclassified non-coding RNA is filed under the name uncultured Neocallimastigales. Its description in RNAcentral is "partial contains 5.8S ribosomal RNA, internal transcribed spacer 2, and large subunit ribosomal RNA". The stretch from base 293 to 1073 matches the Rfam family "Eukaryotic large subunit ribosomal RNA", at positions 1 to 630 of the family's 3401-position model. Lineage: Eukaryota; Fungi; Neocallimastigomycota; Neocallimastigomycetes; Neocallimastigales. The record is from RNAcentral.